ACGCCGCGUGAGGGACGAAGGCCUCUGGGCUGUAAACCUCUUUUCUCAAGGAAGAAGACAUGACGGUACUUGAGGAAUAAGCCACGGCUAAUUCCGUGCCAGCAGCCGCGGUAAU
Molecule: ribosomal RNA, 115 nt
Filed under: uncultured bacterium
Lineage: Bacteria
Description: partial 16S ribosomal RNA
Rfam family: Bacterial small subunit ribosomal RNA
Source: RNAcentral